This 458-nucleotide ribosomal RNA is filed under the name uncultured bacterium. RNAcentral describes it as "partial 16S ribosomal RNA". It matches the Rfam family "Bacterial small subunit ribosomal RNA", at positions 338 to 795 of the family's 1533-position model. The record is from RNAcentral.
CCUACGGUGGACAGCAGUGAGGAAUAUUGGUCAAUGGGCGAGAGCCUGAACCAGCCAAGUCGCGUGAGGGAGUACUGCCCUAUGGGUUGUAAACCUCUUUUGUCGGGGAGCAAAAGCCGGACGUGUCCGGCUGUGAGAGUACCCGAAGAAAAAGCAUCGGCUAACUCCGUGCCAGCAGCCGCGGUAAUACGGAGGAUGCGAGCGUUAUCCGGAUUUAUUGGGUUUAAAGGGUGCGCAGGCGGAGUUUUAAGUCAGCGGUCAAAUCGUGGGGCUAAGCGGCAUCGAGCCUUUGAAACUGGGGAUCUAGAGUGUGGGAGAGGUAUGCGGAAUGCGUGGUGUAGCGGUGAAAUGCAUAGAUAUAACGCAGAACACCGAUUGCGAAGGCAGCAUACCGGUGCACAACUGACGCUGAGGCACGAAAGCGUGGGUAUCGAACAGGAUUAGAUACCCGGGUAGUC